GACGAACGCUGGCGGCGUGCUUAACACAUGCGAGUCGAACGGAAAGGCCCUGCUUUUGUGGGGUGCUCGAGUGGCGAACGGGUGAGUAACACGUGAGUAACCUGCCCUUUACUUUGGGAUAACUCCAGGAAACUGGGGCUAAUACCGGGUAGGAGCUCCUGCUGCAUGGUGGGGGUUGGAAAGUUUCGGCGGUUGGGGAUGGACUCGCGGCUUAUCAGCUUGUUGGUGGGGUAGUGGCUUACCAAGGCUUUGACGGGUAGCCGGACUGAGAGGGUGACCGGCCACAUUGGGACUGAGAUACGGGCCAGACUCCUACGGCAGGCAUCAGUGGGGAAUAGUGCACGAUGCGCUGAAUCAUUAUGCAGCAACGCCGCAUGCGGGAUGACGGCCUUCGGGUUGUAAAGCGCUUUCGCCUGUGACGAAGCGAGAGUGACGGUAAUGGGUAAAGAAGCAACGGCUAACUACGUG
Molecule: ribosomal RNA, 468 nt
Filed under: uncultured bacterium
Lineage: Bacteria
Description: partial 16S ribosomal RNA
Rfam family: Bacterial small subunit ribosomal RNA
Source: RNAcentral